GAUAAACGCUGGCGGCGCACAUAAGACAUGCAAGUCGAACGGACUUAACCAUUAGUUUACUAUUGGAGCGGUUAGUGGCGGACUGGUGAGUAACACGUAAGCAACCUGCCUAUCAGAGGGGAACAACAGUUAGAAAUGACUGCUAAUACCGCAUAUGCCUAAGUACCACAUGGUACAAUAGGGAAAGGAGCAAUCCGCUGAUAGAUGGGCUUGCGUCUGAUUAGUUAGUUGGUGGGGUAACGGCCUACCAAGACGACGAUCAGUAGCCGGACUGAGAGGUUGAACGGCCACAUUGGGACUGAGAUACGGCCCAG
RNAcentral lists this ribosomal RNA (314 nucleotides) under uncultured bacterium. RNAcentral's name for it is "bacterial SSU rRNA". It matches the Rfam family "Bacterial small subunit ribosomal RNA", at positions 28 to 334 of the family's 1533-position model. The record is from RNAcentral.